RNAcentral lists this ribosomal RNA (477 nucleotides) under uncultured bacterium. RNAcentral describes it as "partial 16S ribosomal RNA". It matches the Rfam family "Bacterial small subunit ribosomal RNA", at positions 28 to 506 of the family's 1533-position model. The record is from RNAcentral.
GAUGAACGCUGGCGGCGUGCUUAACACAUGCAAGUCGAACGGGAAACCUUUUAUUGAAGCUUCGGCAGAUUUAGCUGGUUUCUAGUGGCGGACGGGUGAGUAACGCGUGGGUAACCUGCCUUAUACAGGGGGAUAACAGUCAGAAAUGGCUGCUAAUACCGCAUAAGCGCACAGAGCUGCAUGGCUCAGUGUGAAAAACUCCGGUGGUAUAAGAUGGACCCGCGUUGGAUUAGCUGGUUGGUGGGGUAACGGCCCACUAAGGCGACGAUCCAUAGCCGGCCUGAGAGGGUGAACGGCCACAUUGAGACUGGGACACGGCCCAGACUCCUACGGGAGGCAGCAGUGGGGAAUAUUGCACAAUGGGGGAAACCCUGAUGCAGCGACGCCGCGUGAAGGAAGAAGUAUCUCGGUAUGUAAACUUCUAUCAGCAGGGAGGAUAAUGACGGUACCUGACAAAGAAGCCCCGGCUAACUACGU